This 130-nucleotide ribosomal RNA is filed under the name uncultured Bacteroidota bacterium. Its description in RNAcentral is "uncultured Bacteroidetes bacterium partial 16S ribosomal RNA". It matches the Rfam family "Bacterial small subunit ribosomal RNA", at positions 398 to 525 of the family's 1533-position model. Lineage: Bacteria; Pseudomonadati; Bacteroidota. The record is from RNAcentral.
AGCGUGCAGGAUGACGGCCCUCUGGGUUGUAAACUGCUUUUGUAUGGGAAUAAACCUUUCCACGUGUGGAUAGCUGAACGUACUGUACGAAUAAGGACCGGCUAACUCCGUGCCAUCAGCCGCGGUAAUA